GGGACACGUGGUAUCCUGUCUGAAUAUGGGGGGACCAUCCUCCAAGGCUAAAUACUCCUGACUGACCGAUAGUGAACCAGUACCGUGAGGGAAAGGCGAAAAGAACCCCGGCGAGGGGAGUGAAAAAGAACCUGAAACCGUGUACGUACAAGCAGUGGGAGCACGCUUAGGCGUGUGACUGCGUACCUUUUGUAUAAUGGGUCAGCGACUUAUAUUCUGUAGCAAGGUUAACCGAAUAGGGGAGCCGAAGGGAAACCGAGUCUUAACUGGGCGUUAAGUUGCAGGGUAUAGACCCGAAACCCGGUGAUCUAGCCAUGGGCAGGUUGAAGGUUGGGUAACACUAACUGGAGGACCGAACCGACUAAUGUUGAAAAAUUAGCGGAUGACUUGUGGCUGGGGGUGAAAGGCCAAUCAAACCGGGAGAUAGCUGGUUCUCCCCGAAAGCUAUUUAGGUAGCGCCUCGUGAAUUCAUCUCCGGGGGUAGAGCACUGUUUCGGCAAGGGGGUCAUCCCGACUUACCAACCCGAUGCAAACUGCGAAUACCGGAGAAUGUUAUCACGGGAGACACACGGCGGGUGCUAACGUCCGUCGUGAAGAGGGAAACAACCCAGACCGCCAGCUAAGGUCCCAAAGUCAUGGUUAAGUGGGAAACGAUGUGGGAAGGCCCAGACAGCCAGGAUGUUGGCUUAGAAGCAGCCAUCAUUUAAAGAAAGCGUAAUAGCUCACUGGUCGAGUCGGCCUGCGCGGAAGAUGUAACGGGGCUAAACCAUGCACCGAAGCUGCGGCAGCGACACUAUGUGUUGUUGGGUAGGGGAGCGUUCUGUAAGCCUGUGAAGGUGUGCUGUGAGGCAUGCUGGAGGUAUCAGAAGUGCGAAUGCUGACAUAAGUAACGAUAAAGCGGGUGAAAAGC
This 910-nucleotide ribosomal RNA is filed under the name Escherichia coli. Its description in RNAcentral is "partial 23S ribosomal RNA". It matches the Rfam family "Bacterial large subunit ribosomal RNA", at positions 419 to 1329 of the family's 2925-position model. The record is from RNAcentral. Lineage: Bacteria; Pseudomonadati; Pseudomonadota; Gammaproteobacteria; Enterobacterales; Enterobacteriaceae.